This 2115-nucleotide long non-coding RNA is filed under the name Gossypium raimondii (Peruvian cotton). RNAcentral's name for it is "long non-coding RNA (GRAI_LNC006990)". Lineage: Eukaryota; Viridiplantae; Streptophyta; Magnoliopsida; Malvales; Malvaceae. The record is from RNAcentral.
CAUUUAUAUAAUUAAAUCUUACUUGACAUAUUGACAUAAUAACUUAAUUAAUAAAAAUCCUAUUAUCAUUUCUAAUUAACUCAUAAAACUAAUCAAGUCAUUUCAAUUCGAUACCAAUGCCAUAAAGGACUUCUACCAUUUUACUAAUAUAAUCAUCAAAACACAUAAUAUCUUACUUUACAACAAAACUAUAUAACAUACCAAAAUAGCUAUUAUAAUUCUUAUGUACAUGCCACUUUCAUUUAAGAAAGAAAACAUCACUGAAAUCUCUAUGCAGGAGUCAGGAUUGACCUGGAUGCUAAACCAAGACUCAGACCCCUUUUUCAACCUACGCACGGAAACAACUGUACGCUGAGUAUUUUAUACUCAGUGGUAUUACCAUAAUUCAAAUUAUAAUAACAAUAAAGAAUUAUAAUUACGAAGCAUGUAACUAUCUGAUUUCUUAAAUAUCAAUUAAUUCAUAAACUUUCAUUAUUUAACAAUAACAAUACAAUUUUUAGCUAUUCUUCAAUCUCAAUCACAUAUCACAUGUAGCAAUUUCAAUCACUACAUAAACAUUAAAUUCAUGCCUUUUAUUUUCAAUAUCAAUUUCAAUCUGCAAAUUUUAAGUUUUCUCAUAUUCAAUACCACAAUCGAUCAAAUUCAUUUGAUUUUCUCAUUUCAAUUAUUCACCCUAUUAACAAUCUGGACUUUGAAGGAUACACGGAUUCCAACCCAAACACACCAAUACGGCACAUUGUGCCUAAAACGGUACAUAGUACCUGAUCAGUAUACGACACAUAAGUGCCUGAAACGACAGACGAGGUGCCUGAUACGACACAUAAAGUGCCUGAGAUACGACACAUAAAGUGCCUGAUGUACGACACAUAAAGUGCCUAAUCGGCAAAGCUGAUAAAUCCCUUACUCUUCCAAAUCCUAUGGCAUGCCAACUAUAUCCCGACUUAGCCCGACUAGUUAAUAGGGUAUUCAAAUUCUCAAUUCACUUUCAUUUCCAAUUCAAGAUCAUUUUUCCACUUUCUAAUCAAUUAACAAUUUAAUACCAAUACAUAUAUCAAAUAAUCACAUAUAAUCAUAUUUCGAUUCAAUUCAAACCACUUUUCAAUCAAUACACAAUUCACAUACUCACACAUAUUCAUAAAUUAUUUCACUUUAUUUAAUUCAUAUUUUAAAUUCAUUUUCCAAUCAAAUUCAAAUCACUAAUUACUUUUCAAUCAAUAUACAUUUCAACUACUCACAUAUUUCCAUCAUUCGAUUCAAUUUGAUUCAAUUCAAAUCACUAUUAUCACUUCAAUUGCUUACCUAAUUUUACUUACCAUGCAUUUUAAUUAAAAUAUAACAAUUAAUAAUAACUAAAUUUGAAUUAUAGUAAUACAAACCCGAAUUUGCUCGAUUAUUCCUCAACGACCUUCUCCUUCCCUUUUUGUGCCGAUACCUCGAAUUCUUUAUUAGCUACGAAAAUUAAAUAAUUAAUUACAACACAAAUUUUACAAUAAAAAUAAAAUUUCUAUCAAAUUUUAUACUUUAAUUCCAAUUUAAUCCUAACUAGAUUUAUCUACUUUUCUAAUUUAAUUCACACUCUAUUUCUAUUCAAAUUUCUUCUAAACUCAAAUUUAUCUACUAAUUUUUCAGCAUUUUUCACUAAUUUCGAAUUUUCCUCAAUUUAAUCGCUAAAAUUCAAAACUUAUAGUUUAGUUUACAAUUCAAUCCUUUAUUCAAUUCCAAAUAAAAUCUCUAUCAAAUAAAUCCUCAAUUCCAUCAUUUAUUCAACAUAAACCCUACUCAAAAAUCUAUUAACUUUCAAAUUUUCAACUUAAAUCCAAGAGUAUUUCACUCUAGGAUUCCAAAAACAUCAAAUUUAUGAGAAAAUGACUUGAUUUAGCUUACCUAUUAAGCUUCAAAAUCUCAAUUUUCCCCCUUUCUUUUCUUUCCCUUUUUCUUCCCCUGUUUUCGUCUCUUUCUCUGUUUCUUUUCUGUUCUUCUUCUCUUUUUCUAUUCUUUUAUUUCAUUUGUUUUCUUUUACUUUUUGUUAUAAUAAUAUAACAUAUAAUAAUUAAAAUAAAUAUCUUUUACCACACAUGUCAUAUUCAUAACCAUACAUUUGUCUUAAUCUUAUUU